GUGAGGUGCCUUUCUGGGCGGUGGAAUUGAACUCUAGACAAGCUCUAUUCUUCCUGCCCAGGAGGGCAUUUCCUAUUUUCCCACGCCGUUACACCUGAAUCACAUCGGUGAAUCCAG
This 117-nucleotide small RNA is filed under the name Corynebacterium efficiens YS-314. Its description in RNAcentral is "Actinobacteria sRNA Ms_IGR-7". It matches the Rfam family "Actinobacteria sRNA Ms_IGR-7". The record is from Rfam by way of RNAcentral. Lineage: Bacteria; Bacillati; Actinomycetota; Actinomycetes; Mycobacteriales; Corynebacteriaceae.